RNAcentral lists this ribosomal RNA (1036 nucleotides) under Aspergillus candidus. RNAcentral's name for it is "SSU rRNA". It matches the Rfam family "Eukaryotic small subunit ribosomal RNA", at positions 73 to 1118 of the family's 1831-position model. Lineage: Eukaryota; Fungi; Ascomycota; Eurotiomycetes; Eurotiales; Aspergillaceae. The record is from RNAcentral.
AUUAAACGGUGAAACUGCGAAUGGCUCAUUAAAUCAGUUAUCGUUUAUUUGAUAGUACCUUACUACAUGGAUACCUGUGGUAAUUCUAGAGCUAAUACAUGCUGAAAACCCCAACUUCGGAAGGGGUGUAUUUAUUAGAUAAAAAACCAAUGCCCUUCGGGGCUCCUUGGUGAUUCAUAAUAACUUAACGAAUCGCAUGGCCUUGCGCCGGCGAUGGUUCAUUCAAAUUUCUGCCCUAUCAACUUUCGAUGGUAGGAUAGUGGCCUACCAUGGUGGCAACGGGUAACGGGGAAUUAGGGUUCGAUUCCGGAGAGGGAGCCUGAGAAACGGCUACCACAUCCAAGGAAGGCAGCAGGCGCGCAAAUUACCCAAUCCCGACACGGGGAGGUAGUGACAAUAAAUACUGAUACGGGGCUCUUUCGGGUCUCGUAAUUGGAAUGAGUACAAUUUAAACCCCUUAACGAGGAACAAUUGGAGGGCAAGUCUGGUGCCAGCAGCCGCGGUAAUUCCAGCUCCAAUAGCGUAUAUUAAAGUUGUUGCAGUUAAAAAGCUCGUAGUUGAACCUUGGGUCUGGCUGGCCGGUCCGCCUCACCGCGAGUACUGGUCCGGCUGGACCUUUCCUUCUGGGGAACCUCAUGGCCUUCACUGGCUGUGGGGGGAACCAGGACUUUUACUGUGAAAAAAUUAGAGUGUUCAAAGCAGGCCUUUGCUCGAAUACAUUAGCAUGGAAUAAUAGAAUAGGACGUGCGGUUCUAUUUUGUUGGUUUCUAGGACCGCCGUAAUGAUUAAUAGGGAUAGUCGGGGGCGUCAGUAUUCAGCUGUCAGAGGUGAAAUUCUUGGAUUUGCUGAAGACUAACUACUGCGAAAGCAUUCGCCAAGGAUGUUUUCAUUAAUCAGGGAACGAAAGUUAGGGGAUCGAAGACGAUCAGAUACCGUCGUAGUCUUAACCAUAAACUAUGCCGACUAGGGAUCGGACGGUGUUUCUAUUAUGACCCGUUCGGCACCUUACGAGAAAUCAAAGUUUUUGGGUUCUGGG